AUACUUGUAAUACGAUUAAAUUAGUCAAGAAUAUUUUUCGUCUUGUUAUCAGAAAUCCUUUCUGAGGGUGCACCAACAAUGAGCGUUCCUUCUCGUCCGAAAGGCGAGCGCAGCCUCGCAUUUAUUCGUCUAUUCGUCCGUUAUUAGAGGGCCAGACCACGUCCCUGAAUUCCGACGUAAUGGCUGGCUCUCGAUUUGAUCGAAGUCAAAUAUCGGGGCAGCCGUUAACGGCCGCUUUCGGCUUGACCCUCGCGGUGAGAUCAUCGAUUUCGCUUGGCAACGCAUCGGUCUUUAACAUUGGUGCUCGCGCAACGUGGCUCAUCGAUGCCCGAUCGCAUAUUUUAAAUCGCAAUGUAAGAGAAAUGUAUUUCUCUCUCUCUCCCCCCUCUCGCCCUCUUUUUUUCUUUCUUUGCGUUUGUUGCCGCUGAAUUACAUGAACAAUUUAAUCUUCCGCGCUGAAUGCGGGCAGUUUCAAUUAGCUGACUUUUCAACGAGUCCACGUGUAACAGACGCGCUCCGUUUAAUCAUCGCGUUCAUUCUAGAGUUCCUCGAAGUCGAUUAUUAGCCGAGUACAUCGGUCCCCGUCUUGCAGACGCGUUUAAGGAUGAAUUACGUGGGUCAGACGAGUCUCGUUUACACGAUGAUGCUCAUGUCGAGCCAUAUACAACGACGCACUUGCAGACGGAGAGAUGACAAAUGAUUAUUGCUGCGUCACGUUUAUGUUAUUGCCUUCGCAUCAGCUUGUAAAACAUCACUUGGUGUCACUCACGGUGUACACUUGUUACUUAUCAUGAAAUUGAAAAUAAAAUCGCCGGAUUCUAUUGAAAUAAAAAUUCCAAAGUUCCAGAAACUUGUUUUCAUAUUGUUCAUGUUGUAAAUUGUACGUUGUAAAUUACAUAAGCUGCAUUUAGCUGAAGAAUAUAAUACAAGUUGCUAUUUUACAUAUAAAAGCAAUUCUCUCUUUUUCUCUUUCUCGCUCUUUCUCUUUAGUACGUGGGAACUUGUGUCAUACACGCAAGUAGUAUCAGUGCAGUGAAACCUAAGCUUCGUUGCGUCUAUUAAAAUAGCUUAGUCGGGGAUUUAAUAACUUCGUUAAGAUUACACGUGGAUGUGCUGAUUUAUGCAAACAAGGCCGCGCAAAUCUCAGUCGAAACUUCGAGAUGAGAGAUAAUCUGUGAUCCAGAGAUAAUAUCUAGUCGCAUUCUCUCGUUGCAAAGUAGCGUACAAGGUGUAUAUACCGUUGCAUGCACAGUGCUGACGGGCUCGUGUUGCGGAUAAACGACAGGCGUUGUAUGAAGAUAAACGACACUCGCUAGAAGAAGAUAUUUCACGAUGUCUGCACGCGUGCCGAGCAGCACACCAUCUCUCGGGGUGGCUAGAAGCGUUACGGCUUCAUUUCGCAUGAGAUGUAUUUCUUACGUGAUCAGCCUGCAAAGUCAUUCACGUACAAAAACGUGCAAUUAAUUCUUAAGAACGAAAGCAUCAGAUCUGUAAUAAUUCCGAGUAAAACGAAACGAAGAAACUUCCUUGCACCGAGAGAUUUUGCAAUUACAAUUAUCGUAUACAAUUGUGAAUCGAAUUAAAGAUCUAAUUUCACGAUUAUGUUUGAUCAUUAACUAAAUAAUUCGGCUCGCGUGUCUACAUGAUAAUGAAUCAACUAAACGCAUACUUAUGACAGCACAAUCUAGCUUAUCGUGUAUUAAUUUUAUAGCAGAAUAAGUAAACUUUCAAAAACAAGGGAGGAAAUUCUGCAAAACAUAGCCACAUUGAGCUGGAUCGUCAUCCAGACCCGGGUUACUCAAUUGACGAUCUAAUAUAAUUGUGAAAUGAAAUUUUUAAUUUUCCCUAUUGUUAUACAGCUUCGUAUCUCUGUAAUGAUACGUGUUCUGCGUGGAGGCGGUGCGCUUGCUUGCUCCUUAACACGGCCGACGUAAGUCGGAGGACUCCCGCUCCUUGCUUUGUUCAUCGCCAAGGUCUAGAUCAGCGCUGUACCGCGCGUCGCGCCGGCGAGUGGCGGCGCGCUCUUUCCGAUCCUUCUCCUUCGAACGCACGGAUACGUGCGGCGAAUGCGCGAGCGCGCACGACUCGCGCGAGAGCCAACGACGAUCUCGAUGACGGAAUCGAGAACGGUAGCGAGAUUUCCUCAAGGUUCCGCAGCCCCGAAGGAAAAACGAAAGGCACGAGAGCGGAUCCACGGUUUCGCGGCUUCUCCAUCGCACACGCACACGCGCAUAGCCGCGCGAUAAUGCGCACGUGCGCAUUUUCCUUGUGCGCAAAGGGCAACCGCGCGGCAAACAUCUCGCCAUCGGUUUUUCGCGGGAACAGGACUGGUUCCUCGAGAUGACGUCCUUGGGGAACGAUACCCUCGCAAAAGCGCGAUGCACCGGAGACCACUGUCCGCAAGGUUGCUCGUGGAAAAGCGCUCUCGAGGAGAGAAAGAGCGGUUUAUCGGGGGAAAACUCAGUCUGGAAAAGCUGUCACCCUUAUCAUCUCUUAUCGAACACCGAGACAGUGAGGAUGACGGACGCAGCGUAUCAAGCACGUGCGUUUAUCUCGGGCUGGCGCCUUAUUACAGCGCAAUGCGUAUCGAGGGGCUUCAGCGGCGGUUCAACGACCCGAUUUCUGUGUGUGAUCUUGCGUGGCCUUGGAAGACAGGCCGGAUGUUGCGAGACUGACAAAGAGGUUUCGUGUUGCGGCGGAAGAGAGACGGGGCGAGAGAGGGAGAGGGACGGCAACCUAUGAAAAGUUCGAGGUCGCCAUCGACUUCGUGUAACGCCGAAACGGAUCAGUCCAGCUAUCGUUAUCGUGAGCGUUAUCUCUCGGUGUAGAUUAUGUAUUAUCUGCUCUCUCUCUUUCUUUACGCAGAUAGCAAGGAAAUAAUUUAUAUAAUUUUUACGUAGAGGAUUAUCGUCUACGUGUAAAUAUAAUAUUUAGAGAAGAGAGCCUCCCGACACGGAGUUGCUUCAACUUACAAACGCGUAUGCGCUCAAAGUCGAGUUAUCACGGAUGAGAUACGCGACGGAUACUUUCCUCCUCCGGUGAUAAAACAUUUACGGCCCUCCGCAGCCCAAUUUCCCGCGUGUGGCCCUACGCGCGCAGGGUUACGAACCUGCGUGCGCGCACGAAGAAAACGCGGAGAGGCACGGGCAGACAAUGAACAAUCGUACAUUGUUACGAGUUAUAGCAUUGUUACUCCACCGUGCUCGGGCCCCGUGUUCACAUAAUUAGGCUGUAAACGUUUCGAGACAAUCACUAUUGUUUUCCGUUUCUACCCUCCCGGAUUAAGGUUCCCCGCCGUCACAGUCCUUUGCCGGUAAAGCGAGCACUUCGGGAUACUUCGAGAGGAGUAGACUGUAAAAAGUUGCUCAAGUUUACACGAAACUGUUUCUCACCUCUCUCCAAAAAUUAUAUAAAUUCAUUAUUAAAAGUGUUUACCUACCAAACGACUAAAAAUAUAAUUGUUCAAUCAUUUCCACGUGCUAUGUUUCAAUAAAGUCAACGAAAAUAUUCAAAUAAAAUGUUACUUAGCCAGGAACACCGAGGGGACACUUUGAGAUUCAGGUAACCGAGAAAGAUUUGCCUUUCAAGAUGGUCGAUGACGAUAGGACGGGAGAUCUCUGCCACUAGCUCGAGCUUGCUGUAGACUUUGUUUCUACCCAGGGAAAUGUCUCCCUUUUUGAAUUUAUUUUUUUUGUUGUGAUAUCUCGAGACGUAUCUCUUCGUCCCUCGAGACGCUGAUAAAGAACUCGGAGGAAACACAUUCUGCCCGAGAGCAAAUUCUUAAGAAACAUUUUAUCAAGGUAUGUCACGUAUAAAUAUACCUUCCAAACUGAUCACGCAAAGAAUCCAUAAAUAGAAGCAAUUGUUCUUGAAUAUUUCGUAUAUUAUAUUAAUAACGUGGAAACACGUCUUUUCGAGUCGACUCGACCGUAUAACGUGCGUUCGCAGCACAUUGUGCCUUGUACAAAUUGAUGCAGAAGCAGCUAGACGUGCAUGCGCGCUCGGAUUGAGACAUCGCGAGAUGCAGCACAGCAGAUAAGAGAGGAAUGGAACGGAGGAAAAUCGUGGAACGGAGAAACGGACGGAAGAGCGACUACGCGCAGCGCUCGCGGUGGAAAUCCCUUGUUUCUUCGCGCAACGCGAUGCGAUAUCGAGCCGGGCAUGUAGAUUGCGGAAUGGCAAACGGGCGAGGGGAGGAGGGAGGAGGAGGAUGAAUUGUGAGAGGUAGCGGAGGAGAUAAUUUAUUGUUAUUCUAGAUGCGUUCGAUGACGCUACACAUUCUCCUGAGUGGUUGCUACGGCCGAGAGAGUGAGAGAGAGGAAAAUAGAAGGGAGACAAAGAGAGCAAAAAGGGCGAGGGAAGAGAGACCUCAAGAGAUGUAGAAAAAAAGAACCAAGAGAAAGAUAGGAUAGUCGAGAAUAAUAGGAAGAGAUAGGGGCAAGAAGGAAGAAGAAAUACUACGCGGAGAACAGAGAGAAAAGAGAGAUAGAGAGGACCCAACGCUUGUGGUAGCCGUGACCUUGUCUGGUACCCGAGACCCCACUAUAGUGUGCAUCGGUUUGCACAUAUCCUUGGUACCCCACCAUACAGAAUGAUGUGGUAGGAGAUGGCGAAGGAUGAAGAAAGACAGAGAGAGAGAGAGAGAGAGAACGAGUGCAGGGAGGAAGGAGGGAAAGGAAACGAGAGAAAGAAACCCGAGAGGGAACGUACAAGAGUGUGGAGAUGGCAGGCGCGUUCGUCCAGUCAUUGUUACCUAAUUUAAUGAGCAAACCGUCAAGCACGUGUCGGUGAAUACCUCAUAGCUCGUUAGCACGUCCAUCGGCGUGAAAUCACGAAUGCGCUUACAGCUCGCUCACGAGCUCCGCGAACGGACGUGUUCCAGCGGAGAAGAUACUUCGAGAAAUCCACGAGUGCGCUGGGACGACGCGGCGAGGUAGAAACUGGAAGUGAAGUUUGCUGCUGAUCUCCCUGAUCUCGCCGUGUUUGCACCAGUUGCGCCGGAAACGCGCAAGGCGACGCGAGAUCGCUCGACGCGGAAUCGGCAGCUCCUCUAGCGCGUGUCGGCUACCAACUGACGUUAUUAUGAUGGAUCGGGAUGAUCCGACUUUGAAUUCAGUACAGGCACAACAUCGUUAGCGUGUACACAAAUAGAAACCGUUGAACGUGGACGACUGAAUUUUCGUCCACGGGGUCUCCUACACGGUAGCAAAUGCCUUAUCGAAGACGAAGAGGAGCUUCUUCCGGCGGAUGCGCGGCAGAAACGUGUCGUCGACACAUCCUGUCGGUGAGACAACAAUAGUGGACACCCUCCUCUUCCUGGUUGUACGCGCCAAUUAUUCCAUAGUCGAAAGAAAGACGGAAAAACGAAAGAGUAUCCUGACAUUUCAAUUUUGAUCUGUGGAAUCACGCCAGAUAUUCUCCCGAGAUAAAAGCCAAGGACAAUCGCGAGCGAAAAAUCUGCAUGUCUCUUUCCAGAAGACAUUUAACUCGCACGUACGUUUACGUAACGCAUUAUCAUUUCAAGAAUUGAUGCAAACAUCGCGAGCAUCGUAAAAUAUUUUGGCGACCACGCCUUUAUUCAGAAACAUCAUGGAUCUCAAAGAUCAAAUAAAAUAUACGAAAAUAAUUCACUCGUGUUAUUUUUUUCUCCCGAAUAACGUUAAAACACAUGAUUGCUAAUCGUGCAAGCACUUAACGUUGUCAAUCGUCAUUAAUUAGUCUUAAUCUUCAUCGAGAUCGAUGAUCGAUGAUCAGGAGGACAUCUUCCAGUCUUUGUGAUAGUGGUACCCGGCCUCGUGACAACGCGAGGUGCUACAACAGCGUCGCGUGUAAACUUUCGGACUUUCGGUAUUUUACUUGUCACGAUAUCAAGAGUGCAGCUUCAAUGUGAUCGGGCGAUAAAGUUUCGCCAGGUUCGUCGACCGAUCGUCAACGAUACAUCGAGCAAGGCGGACAGGACGAAGGACUACCUCGGAUCAAGUUCUUGCGUUCUUUCUCUCCUCGAUCCGCUCGACCGCGAGGCAGCCAAGUAAAUGGUACCGUAGCACCGUGAAGUAUAUUAUUAGCAUCGUGUAAACGUGUCUGCUGGCCGUGAAACCAGUGAAAGUAUUUCAUGGACGGGGCAGGCACACACGCGCGCACUCGCUUGGCGCGCGUGCACGUAUAUCAUUUCGCGCCGGUCUCUCAUACGUGCCGCUCGCUUCUUCCGAGACGAUCGCCGUGUGGAGGCGCGCCCAGAACUGGGCCUUUGUCCUCUUUGUCCGAGGAACUGGCGGCUGGGCCGGUCUGACCCUUCUGGUUCCACUGGACCGGUCGAAAAGGACGAGAGUUCGGUGCGCGUCCAUGUUUCUCGCUUCUCGUCGUCGUCUUUCGCACGCGCGGUCAAGAUGAGCUUCGAGGUGAUACGUCUCCGGUCCUGGUAUAAUGCAAGACCACGCUGGACAAGUUGGAAAGUCGUUGAAGAAGCUGACAAAUUUCGGAGGGAGAAAUGUCGCGACGCGUUCUCCAGCUUUCGACGCGGUCGCGCGAGCGACAGACGCGAUCGCGCAACGAUCUCGUAAGACAUGCUCUUAAGUAUAAUGAGCGUUCUUCGUGAUAUAAAUAGACACCCAGACGUCCUGCGUUCGGCAGUAAGCGCAUUCGAUGAAUCGCGUGAUCUUACUGUUGAAUAAUGGCCAAAUGAUUCCUUCUAAAAUUAUUGUUGCUUUUUCUGGCGUUCAUUUCGGUAUUAAAUAUCUUGUAAUCAAUUUUAUCUCAGGAUCUUGUUGAAAUUGAUUAGAAAUUAAUUCAGGAGAUACAAAGUCGGCGUUGUAAUGUAUCCAGAAAACGAAUAUGUCGAAGGAUCAAAGAAAUAUUAUGUAACGCGACUUUUACGCUUUGAGUAUUAGAUGGCGGCCGCGAGAAUUUUACGUAAUCUUCCGUUUCGCGAUUUACCACGUGCAUACCUCUUUUUCUGAUCGGAAUUAUUUUCUAGUAAGUCGAGGCGCAAUUAAUAAACAGUUUCUUUCCGCAGAAACUAGUCAUUUGUUCAGCUAACGACGUGCUAUGAUGAACACUUUGCUGCUUUGCAAUCAAGGAUAAUCUAAUGCAAAUCGGAGCAUAUUACAAAUAUUGCAUGUUCAAUGUCUCUUCUUCUCAACAUUGUAGAAAAAAAAAAUAGUAAAAAAUAUCGAUUCCAGUUUGCAGUUGCACACGAUUUGUCGUAUCCUCGAAACUUCAUAAGUACAUACCUAUCGAUAUACAAACAAGUGUGAUCAAGUUCAAGAGACUGAAACUAGUGAAAUGAGGACACAGUGAACUCGUAAUAUUCGUUCAUCCAUCCGUUUGCAUCGGGACGAAAGAUCGCGCUUCCACAAGAAAUGACGUCUCGGCAAAUCGCGUUUAUUGCGCUUGAUGAUUGUCUUGACUCAUCGUUAGCGAAUGUCAGCGAAUGACGUUAAGAGCUCGUUGAUGCCUCGCCGAGGAGAAUGUCGACAUUGUGCGAUCUCACAUGCGCUCAUGCGAUACCUCUUCGAUACCUGUCCAAAUAUUGAGAGAUAUUUUGUUUCGAAUAUUAUAUAUAUAUUAUUUUAUUAUGAUAAUAUUGAAUGAAAUCUCUCUGAAAUCUAAAUAUAUUUAAUUUUAAAACAACUUGUACAACAAGCACCCACUUAAUGUUAAUAUCGAUAUUCAAGUCACCAUAUAUGAGAAUGCCAUUUAUGCAUUGUUAAUAUUAUUCUGGUUUCCCUUCAAUGUACGAAUAAAUCUUUCGUCUUUUACAUUGUUAAUAUUAUCAUUAAUAAAGAAACUCGCUAAUGUCCACGUGCGAUUGCAUUUUUUUAUUCACGUAAUACGAUAAAGCGGUGAAGUCAUAAAAGACGUCAUCUAAACGGUGAAGAAUCACAAGACUGGCCGGGUAGAGCAUGCUUGCCUUUUUGUUAACCGUAACGCGCCGGAAUGGUCGACCGACGGUUUCGAGUGAUACGGUUUUACGACUGGUAAAAGUCGAUAUGAAAGGCGAGCCUGUGGCGCGGAAGCUUGGCUCGAAACAUGGCGCGGCCGAGAGCCCGAGAGGCGAGAUGAAGGCAGGCGGUUCUCUCCCGUCGAUACGACGCCCGUAUACAUUUUGUAGUCAAUAUGUCGAAAUGUUUUCCCCCCGAGUUCUCCUUUCACUAAUUGUAUAAAGCCUGGCCACUGCGAAUAUGUGGCUGAAAUUUAUGAAAUCGCGCGGAUAUUCGGCCAAACUAUCCGGUUUGCGACGACAAACACAGUGAAACUGCGAAAGUGCUCGUAACAGAGGACGAACGAAAGAAACCUUUGACCAAGGAUCCAAAAGGAAACCUGUCGAAGAACCGUUGAGCUCAGUGUUACGAAAACACGCACGAGACCAGGCGUCGAAAAAAGAAAGACACGUUCGCCGACUUCGACAAUUUGCAACCGACUGUGAGUUCAUCUCAGUUGCAAUAUUCAACUGAGUUAACUUUGUUCAUUUUGAGGAUAAUUGAUGCAAGUUUAAUUUCAAUAAUUGAUCAAGAUCGAGAUAAUAUAGCGGUAUACUCGCGUAUAUUAUUGUUGAAAUUAUUUUUAAAAGUGGAUUUGCGCACCAAUCAACUCCUGAAGGAACUUUUCAUAAGAGAUACAUAUCGUGACGUAACUUCAAUAAAUCAGCUGCACGCGAGGUAUCGUUCGAUCUUUUCCGAGAUAACAAUUUGGUUCAUCAAAAUUUUGACGUGCGCGAGGCGUGGCAGUCGAUGUGCGUUUUGCCAAGGAUCGAUCAAAACCAGAGCGCGGAUCCAUCGCAAUGACCUUUUCACGCGAACAGCGAAAGCGGAGUGCAUCUGCUAUUUUACUCCAGAAUCGAUAGCGCCAAGUCUUUCGCGAUUCGCGAGCAAGAUCAGCUCACGAUGCUGGGCAUCGCCGCCGAUCGUGAUCUCUUUAGCAACGUAGAAACCAACGAAAAGGUCGGUCGAUGCUAAUGCGCAAAGCAGACAUCAUUCGAAUCUCGUAACUAUGUGGCAGAAAAACAAUUUUGUAGAGAGGGACAAGAUUUCGUCAGCAUCCUUUUGUUGACUUUUCGUCUCGGUUUGCGGAAAAAAGAAAUAAGGAUAUGAAGAGACGAAGGAUGGUAUGCCGCCUGUGUAUGUUGCGCAAAAAUGAUAAGAUGGAUCUUUGAGUAUAAAACGAAGAAAGUAAGUAGCCUAUAAGUAAUGAAAUGAGGAGGCUAUAAGUAGUCUAAAAGAAAAACAUUGAUUUAAAUAUCGCAAUGUGAAUUACCUAGUUGUUCAACAUCGACUGACAAUGAGACAGCUCCGAGUUCACUCGGUACACAAAUUGUUCACGAGAAAGAAACGAGAACGAGAGGCGGAUGAAAUAGGAAGCGUGCCUUGCGCGCAUUAAUUAAAAGUGCUGCAGAGGAAGUCGCCAACUAAGAAGGGCGAGGCUGAAUGAAAACAGCUGCUACUUGAUGACGACAUGGUCUAAAAGCGCGUUUAGUCCAGACUAAAGCACCAUUGCGUUACGUUCACGACUAUUGAAGCCCAUCUAACAUGGGACGGAAGAUGGGAACGGGACUUUUCUCUCAAAUGAAACCUUAAUUGAAUUUUCUUCAAAUCUUAUCGUUAUUACAAAAUUCUGAAUUGUAGCUUCAUAUUUACACACGACAUUUUUAAUUGAGAAAUUUACGUUAACUAGAAGCAUUAAUUAAUGUAUCCGAUGUUAUUUUGUCGCGUUUAUAUUUGAAAGAAAUAAAACCGUAAAA
Molecule: long non-coding RNA, 9736 nt
Organism: Ooceraea biroi (clonal raider ant)
Lineage: Eukaryota; Metazoa; Arthropoda; Insecta; Hymenoptera; Formicidae
Source: RefSeq, a predicted model, not a curated record